UGCAUAUCAUUAAGCGGAGGAAAAGAAACCAACAGGGAUUGCUCUAGUAACGGCGAGUGAACAAGCAAAAGCUCAGUUUUGAAAGCCUACUUUGUAGGCAUUGUAUUCUGAAGCCUAGAUUCUGGGAAACGGUGUUUAAGUCUUCUGGAAAGGAGCGCCACGGAGGGUGAUAGCCCCGUACGGCACUGACCCCAUUGUAGUUUCUAGGCGUGGAGUCGAGUUGUUUGGGAAUGCAGCUCAAAUGGGAGGUAUGCUCCUUCUAAAGCUAAAUAUUUGCGAGAGACCGAUAGCGAACAAGUACUGUGAAGGAAAGAUGAAAAGAACUUUGAAAAGAGAGUGAAAUAGGACGUGAAAUUGUUGAAAUGGAAGGGUAGGCUGCUAACCAUGUAGGACCGUGUCUGAGGGGAAGAUAAAAGCUACGGAAUGUGACUCUUCGGAGUGUUAUAGCCGUGGUCAAUGUUCCCACUUAGGCGCGAGGAUC
This 481-nucleotide ribosomal RNA is filed under the name Starmerella lactis-condensi. Its description in RNAcentral is "eukaryotic LSU rRNA". It matches the Rfam family "Eukaryotic large subunit ribosomal RNA", at positions 37 to 529 of the family's 3401-position model. The record is from RNAcentral. Lineage: Eukaryota; Fungi; Ascomycota; Dipodascomycetes; Dipodascales; Trichomonascaceae.